RNAcentral lists this ribosomal RNA (425 nucleotides) under uncultured bacterium. RNAcentral describes it as "partial 16S ribosomal RNA". It matches the Rfam family "Bacterial small subunit ribosomal RNA", at positions 354 to 796 of the family's 1533-position model. The record is from RNAcentral.
GUGGGGAAUCUUAGACAAUGGGCGCAAGCCUGAUCUAGCCAUGCCGCGUGAUCGAUGAAGGCCUUAGGGUUGUAAAGAUCUUUCGCUGGGGAAGAUAAUGACUGUACCCAGUAAAGAAGCCCCGGCUAACUCCGUGCCAGCAGCCGCGGUAAUACGGAGGGGGCUAGCGUUAUUCGGAAUUACUGGGCGUAAAGCGCACGUAGGCGGACUGGAAAGUUGGGGGUGAAAUCCCGGGGCUCAACCUCGGAACUGCCUUCAAAACUCCCAGUCUUGAGUUCGAGAGAGGUGAGUGGAAAUCCGAGUGUAGAGGUGAAAUUCGUAGAUAUUCGGAGGAACACCAGUGGCGAAGGCGGCUCACUGGCUCGAUACUGACGCUGAGGUGCGAAAGCGUGGGGAGCAAACAGGAUUAGAAACCCCGGUAAUCC